This 1124-nucleotide long non-coding RNA is filed under the name Cricetulus griseus (Chinese hamster). RNAcentral describes it as "lncRNA (ENSCGRG00015041169.1)". Lineage: Eukaryota; Metazoa; Chordata; Mammalia; Rodentia; Cricetidae. The record is from RNAcentral.
CCAUGCGUGUGCUGAAGCCUUCCUCCCUCCCCUAUGUGACAACAUGUCAAAAGUGGGAACAGUUAAAGCUUGAAUGAAGGACCUUAACAUAAAGAACUAAGGAUUAGGGCAUUUACCAGACGAGAUCCCAGAGGGCUUGCUGUCACCUUACCAUGUGAGGUCAAGAGGGUAGAAGGCAGCCAUGUGCAAUUCAGGCACCAUGCCCUCUAAGGGUGGUUCAGAAACCACCCCUGCUAAGCCUUGAUCUGGGACUUGAAGACUCCAGCACUGUAAGAAGGCACAUGUUAUUUUGCUUAAGAUGAGGAACUGAGGUGCAGGAAGCAAGUACAACACCUUGUCUGAGGGUAACAGAUCGAGGGAGAGGUAGAGUCCAUCCACCAGGUAAGAGUGGGCCGGAAGUCUGUGGUCAGGAAGGCUCCUCUAAGAAGGAAUCACAUGCAGUAACCAACCGGAAGGAGUGCUCCAGGCAAGAGCUAUGAGUGCUCUUCUGGGAAGUGGUGAACAUGAGGGAAGACCCCUAAGGAGAAAGCCAGGAGCCGGAUUUGGAAUAAUUAAAGAAAUCUUUUUUGUUGUUGUUUUGUUUUUUGUUUCCCAAGCCAGGGUUUUUCUGUGUAGCUCUGGAACUCACUCUGUAGACCAGGCUGGCCUCAAACUCACUGAGAUCUGCCUACCUCUGCCUCCUGAGUGCUGGGAUUAAAGGCAUGCGCCACCAACGCCCGGCUCAUGUAAUUCUGAUGGUUGGAAGAUUACCCCAAGUUCAGUGUGUGCCUUUCUGUCUCUCCCUUAUUCCCUCCCUCUCUCCCUUUCUUCUCUCCUGUCUUUUCCUCCCCCCUCUCUCUCUACCCUCUCCCUUCUCCCUAUUUCCCUUCCCAGUCUUUCUCCUCUCGUCUUUUUCUCCCCUCCUCCUCUCCUGUCUUCUUCUCUUCCUUUCUUCCCUAUCCUCUAUCGUCUCCUGUUCUCUCUCUCUCUCUCUCUCUCUCUCUCUCUCUCUCUCUCUCUCUCUCCUCCCUCUGAGGUAGAGGAUCACUACAUUGCCCAUAGGGCUCAAGCAAUCUCCUGAGAAGUUGGGAGUGCAGCUGGUGUGACCAUCCCUUUUGUGUCUGGGCUCCCUAUGGCUGGCAUCC